AAAAAAAUAUAUAUAUAUAUAUAUAACAAAAAAAACAAAUUUGGACUUGGGCCUCUCUCAUUUGAGCCCACAGGUCCACAAAAACCAGGUUAUAAAUUCAGAGUUUCAGUGAAACAAAAAGAGUCAUUCCUAUUACCUGGCAGGAAAAGAAAGUGAGAGAAGAGCUGACAGAGUUCAGAAGCAACCUCCAGAGGCAAACCCUCAGAUUGCUCUGCAAACCUCACAGGUGGAACUCAAUUUCAAUCGAUCCUCCCCAAUCAGGU
RNAcentral lists this long non-coding RNA (263 nucleotides) under Lathyrus oleraceus (garden pea). RNAcentral's name for it is "Pisum sativum (pea) long non-coding RNA (PSAT_LNC012276)". Lineage: Eukaryota; Viridiplantae; Streptophyta; Magnoliopsida; Fabales; Fabaceae. The record is from RNAcentral.